CCUACGGGUGGCAGCAGUGAGGAAUAUUGGUCAAUGGACGAGAGUCUGAACCAGCCAAGUAGCGUGAAGGAUGACUGCCCUAUGGGUUGUAAACUUCUUUUAUAUGGGAAUAAAAUGUUCCACGUGUGGGAUUUUGUAUGUACCAUAUGAAUAAGGAUCGGCUAACUCCGUGCCAGCAGCCGCGGUAAUACGGAGGAUCCGAGCGUUAUCCGGAUUUAUUGGGUUUAAAGGGAGCGUAGGUGGAUUGUUAAGUCAGUUGUGAAAGUUUGCGGCUCAACCGUAAAAUUGCAGUUGAUACUGGCAGUCUGGAGUACAGUAGAGGUAGGCGGAAUUCGUGGUGUAGCGGUGAAAUGCGUAGAUAUCACGAAGAACUCCGAUUGCGAAGGCAGCUCACUGGACUGCAACUGACACUGAGGCUCGAAAGUGUGGGUAUCAAACAGGAUUAGAUACCCGAGUAGUC
RNAcentral lists this ribosomal RNA (460 nucleotides) under uncultured bacterium. RNAcentral's name for it is "partial 16S ribosomal RNA". It matches the Rfam family "Bacterial small subunit ribosomal RNA", at positions 338 to 795 of the family's 1533-position model. The record is from RNAcentral.